Molecule: unclassified non-coding RNA, 2213 nt
Filed under: Anthonomus grandis grandis
Lineage: Eukaryota; Metazoa; Arthropoda; Insecta; Coleoptera; Curculionidae
Description: dNA ligase 4
Source: RNAcentral
UGUUCAUUAGGCAACACACAUUUCUCUAUAUUUGUGUUCUGUGGAGGCAGUGUUUUUAACUCUUUCCCUCUAAUCUCUUAUUGUUUGUGUGUACGUUGUUUAACGCCUUAAAUAGAAACAGAAUACGCCUAGAGGCCCAACCAUAAGUUGUAUUUCCUUAUCAAAGAGUUACAGUGCAGCAAAGUAUCCUGAGACUCCUACAUGGUCCAGAGCCAGAUAAAGUAGGAUCUCACACAAAUCGGGCUGGCAAUUGCCUUGCAGCAGAGCCAUCAAGUCAACAAGACAAGACAAGACAUAACCUUAAAAACGAGUGAGGUAUGCCAUACUAAAAUAUGUAUCAAACGUUAAAAUCAAAAUUUUAAUGUAAAAAUGGGAAGAGAGUAAUAUAGUCAUCAACACUUAUUUUUUCUUACUAAAGGCAAAGCCAAAACAUAAGCAGGACCUUAACUAGGAUACUAUAUAGAAUUUUGAAGAAUUCACAUCUUGGAGGGCACAAGAUAAUAGGGAAGUAGAUUAUGCUUGUCAGACCCGAAACAAGUUUAAGAAUGGGGAAGAACAAAUAUUUUACAAUUGCAACAGUAGCGAUAUCAGAGGUUGUACAAAGUCUUAGUCAUCAUUAUCAACUAAACAUACAUAAGUAUGUUUAGUUGAGUUUACUUCUAGGAUUUAAUAGCGCAUGCAAAGUGAGAAGUCUGGGGGAAGCAUUCGCAUUCAAGGAACAUGUCAACAAGACCAAACUCAAAUAGCUAUCAGCAUAAAAUUGUAAUAGAAGCCCAUAACAAAGCCGAAAAAAUGAAUGGUAAGGUAGAAUUUUUAGAAUUUGUAAAAUUUAAAGUAGUAAGUGUUUUGGUAAGUGGUAAGUUCUAUGUUGUGUCUUGUCAUGAACUAUGUGAUGAGCAAUGUCGCACUGGAUACUGUAACAUCUGUAAAAUAUGUUUUCAUAAAUACAGAUGUGACUGUCCAGAAAAUUCUGUCAAAACAGUACUUUGUAAACAUAUACAUGCUGUAGCCAUUUUUGAGCAGAGGAGCGAGUUUGUUGUAGGUUCCCCAACUGUGAGUGAAGAGGAAGAGGAUAAUGUUUUGUUUGUUGAUCAACCACAACUAGCCAAAUCAAUUAUUAGGAGGAUGUAAACCAUUUUAUUCAGGAGAGUUCGAAAAUGAAAGUCAAUAGUUCUGCAAUGGACUUUGAAGAAAAUCGAGAAGUAGUUUGAGUAACCUAUAAGUUACAUUUUUAUUACAUCGGUUAUACUUAUUUUAAGAUUGCAUUGCAAGAAAUUUGUAGCUAUUGUAGAAGUUUAGAUAAAAAUGCAUUUGCCAGAGUUAUGGCUGUAAUCAACAAAUUUAAAAAAAAAGAAGUGGAGGAAGAAAAUUCUCAGGGCAUUGAAAAGAAAAGAAAAAUUGAGAAACAAAUGUACUAUCCAAAUAAAAAACAAGCUAGAUUUCUUUGUGUAUUUAAUGGCUAGAUAAUAUUUGAAUUGUAGCUAUUUUUUUAUGUUUGUAUAGCUGUGAAGUUAACAAAAAUAGGAUGUGGUAUUUUAUAUGAUGUUUUGUGUUAUAAUCAGUAUAAUAUAACUAAGUAUAUUUUUUUGUAAGGUUUUGGUGCAGGUUUCAAAUUGUAAAUACAAAUUUUAUGUAAGAGGUCAUAUACAUAACUAGGUAUAGUUUUUGUAAGGCUUAAUUUGGUGUAGGUUUCAAAUUGUAAAAAUAAAUUUUAAGACGUCAUAGGUGUUGGUUUCUGUAUAACUAUUUUUAUAUCUUUUAUUUUAAGACUAAAAAUGUUAAUAUUUAACUAAUCAUUUUCUAUUACAUUUUCUUUGCUAUGUUUUUAAUAUUUUUUAGGGUGCAGAAAAGCUAAUUGGAUUAACUUGAAAUUGACAUGGAACGAGGGGGAAGAUCCCCUGUGAGUAUAUAUUUAUUAAUUAAAAUGUAUACAGAGCAGUAAUUUUUUUUCAUGUUACUAUUGAAUGGAAGUUUGAAUGGUUUGGGCUGUAUAUACAUGACCAGCAGAGAUGAUAAAUAAUAAGCUAAAGAAGUGCGAGUCUACAUACUAUAUAUCAGAUUAAUACAUUUAGCCUCUUUGCAUUUAAUUUUGAGGUUGUUGAUAUUAAAAGUACCAUAAAUUAUUAUAUUUAAAUAGCAAAUAAAUUUAUAGAUUUUUUAUUAUUUAAAAUAAACAAAGUUUAUAAUUAAAUUAAAAAUAUAAUUUCUACGUU